This is a long non-coding RNA of Haliotis rubra (blacklip abalone), 369 nucleotides long. RefSeq lists it as uncharacterized. The transcript has 2 exons. Lineage: Eukaryota; Metazoa; Mollusca; Gastropoda; Lepetellida; Haliotidae. The record is from RefSeq and is a predicted model, not a curated record.
UAAGAAAACUUUAUUUCUGUACAGUGCAGCACUCCGUAUUCACAAUGAAUACAAUUAUGUAUCUCCGUGUUACAACUUCAGAUAACAAUCGAUUAUAAAUAUUUAUUAAUAAUAACACACUUUGACGUCGUACAGCCAACACCCAUGAUGUGAAACAAAAGAAGGUCACUAGAAUGUGUGAUGUCCAGGAUAUAUAUGUAUAUAUACAAUGCAUUCAUAUUAUCCAACAAAGUACGCAACAACACUGAAUGGAUGGAGUGGAAUAUCUAUACUACUGAGUGAUAAUCUGUUUCGAUACUUUAUUUAUGUUUUGUGAUUCUCAAAGUUCAUCGGUAAGUUUGCGUAGCUAAGGAGCAGUACAUACUGCCC